CGCGUAGGCGGCGGAUCGAGUCCGGGGUGAAAUCUUUCGGCCCAACCGGAAAAGUGCCUUGGAUACCGGUCCGCUCGAGGGGGGUAGGGGCAGGCGGAACUUCCGGUGGAGCGGUGAAAUGCGUAGAUAUCGGAAGGAACUCCGGUGGCGAAAGCGGCCUGCUGGACCCCAUCUGACGCUGAGGCGCGAAAGCCAGGGGAGCAAACG
RNAcentral lists this ribosomal RNA (207 nucleotides) under uncultured bacterium. RNAcentral's name for it is "partial 16S ribosomal RNA". It matches the Rfam family "Bacterial small subunit ribosomal RNA", at positions 568 to 774 of the family's 1533-position model. The record is from RNAcentral.